Molecule: ribosomal RNA, 314 nt
Filed under: uncultured bacterium
Lineage: Bacteria
Description: partial 16S ribosomal RNA
Rfam family: Bacterial small subunit ribosomal RNA
Source: RNAcentral
GUAUAAGAGACAGCAGCCGCCGCGGGAAUACUGAGGGAGCUAGCGUUGUUCGGAAUUACUGGGCGUAAAGCGCGCGUAGGCGGUUACUCAAGUCAGAGGUGAAAGCCCGGGGCUCAACCCCGGAACUGCCUUUGAAACUAGGUGACUAGAAUCUUGGAGAGGUCAGUGGAAUUCCGAGUGUAGAGGUGAAAUUCGUAGAUAUUCGGAGGAACACCAGUGGCGAAGGCGGCUCACUGGUCCAUUACUGACGCUGAGGUGCGAAAGCGUGGGGAGCAAACAGGAUUAGAUACCCCCGUAGUCCCUGUCUCUUAUAC